UAACACCCUAACCACAUUUUCCAUGAUGAGUGAAUCAGACUGACGAAAGCCUGAAUAUAACCAUUGUAAUGACUACUUCACUGCUUUGAGAAAAUGAAGCCCCAGCUCUGCUCCUCACCUUUAGCUUACCUGCUGAUGUUCUCCAUUCUUCUGACCGUAAAUGGGCAAAAACAGCUGGCGGUGACACAACCAGAGGUGGUGAGAGCAGAGGCUGGAGGAUCGGUGGCCAUCACCUGCUCGUUUGCAUCUGAUAUUCCCUCCUACUCUGGGACAUGGACCUUAGGGUGCAAUACUUCUGAGAAUCUUCAGGAUCUCCCGUGUUUCAAACGCAGGGUAAACAUCUCUUCCCCAGAUCCUGGUCAGACACCAGACAGCCGACAUGGAGAACCCAACUAUGAGGUGAAUGUGACAAUCACUAUCAUCAACCUGACAGAGAGCGACUCAGGAACCUUCUGUUGUCAUGUGAAGACUCCUAGUAUGGCGGGAACUGGACCCGGAACAAGACUGGAGGUCACUCCGAGAUCUACUCCUAAAUCAGGAAACAGGACAUGAAAAGUAUAUUCUCUUCAGCGUCAUAGGGGCAGAAGCAUUUGUUAUAAUUAUCCUGAUUGCUGUGGUUAUUAAGUGUCGCGCCCGAGGAUUAUCAAGAUCUGAGGACCAGGGUCUGCAGUCGCAUCCUUCAGAGCUACAGUAUGCCGACAUCUGCAAGAAAAGUUACCCUCAGCAUUCAAGACCAAGAAUCAAUGUGCAAGAAGUCACCUACUCCGCUGUCAAGAUUAAGAACGAAGAACAGGACUAUAACUUAUAUUAAUCCAUGUUUUAAAGGAACUCUCCGGACAAAGAUAAUACACUGUGUUAUGCCUAACACUGGGCAAAAAAGGGAGGUGUGUGACACAGGGGUAGAAGAAAACCAGAGAAUUUGUGUCUUGCUCCGCCCCUCCACGGAAGACAUAACACAGUGUGUUAGGUUAUCCUGGAAUAUUCCUUUAUGUGCAUGCUGUAAAUUUCAUCAAGCUGAU
This is a long non-coding RNA of Bufo bufo (common toad), 1019 nucleotides long. RefSeq lists it as uncharacterized. The record is from RefSeq and is a predicted model, not a curated record. NCBI's taxonomy places the organism in Eukaryota, Metazoa, Chordata, Amphibia, Anura, Bufonidae. The transcript is spliced from 5 exons.